Acanthosepion pharaonis is the source of this 107-nucleotide non-coding RNA. The record is from the annotation of a GenBank genome assembly. Lineage: Eukaryota; Metazoa; Mollusca; Cephalopoda; Sepiida; Sepiidae.
UACGUUCACAUCACAUUGAAACACCGGUUCCUGUACGAUCACCGAAGUUAAGCAACAUCGAACCUGGUCAGUACGGGUGACCGUUUGGGAAUACCAGGUGGUGCAAU